Molecule: ribosomal RNA, 171 nt
Filed under: Clostridium perfringens
Lineage: Bacteria; Bacillati; Bacillota; Clostridia; Eubacteriales; Clostridiaceae
Description: partial 16S ribosomal RNA
Rfam family: Bacterial small subunit ribosomal RNA
Source: RNAcentral
UUUAAAUUGAGAGUUUGAUCCUGGCUCAGGAUGAACGCUGGCGGCGUGCUUAACACAUGCAAGUCGAGCGAUGAAGUUUCCUUCGGGAAACGGAUUAGCGGCGGACGGGUGAGUAACACGUGGGUAACCUGCCUCAUAGAGUGGAAUAGCCUUCCGAAAGGAAGAUUAAUA